Molecule: ribosomal RNA, 706 nt
Filed under: Psychrobacter sp. Gbf-Ret-15
Lineage: Bacteria; Pseudomonadati; Pseudomonadota; Gammaproteobacteria; Moraxellales; Moraxellaceae
Description: bacterial SSU rRNA
Rfam family: Bacterial small subunit ribosomal RNA
Source: RNAcentral
CAGGCUUAACACAUGCAAGUCGAGCGGAAACGAUGAUAGCUUGCUAUCAGGCGUCGAGCGGCGGACGGGUGAGUAAUACUUAGGAAUCUACCUAGUAGUGGGGGAUAGCACGGGGAAACUCGUAUUAAUACCGCAUACGACCUACGGGAGAAAGGGGGCAGUUUACUGCUCUCGCUAUUAGAUGAGCCUAAGUCGGAUUAGCUAGAUGGUGGGGUAAAGGCCUACCAUGGCGACGAUCUGUAGCUGGUCUGAGAGGAUGAUCAGCCACACCGGGACUGAGACACGGCCCGGACUCCUACGGGAGGCAGCAGUGGGGAAUAUUGGACAAUGGGGGAAACCCUGAUCCAGCCAUGCCGCGUGUGUGAAGAAGGCCUUUUGGUUGUAAAGCACUUUAAGCAGUGAAGAAGACUCUUCGGUUAAUACCCGGAGACGAUGACAUUAGCUGCAGAAUAAGCACCGGCUAACUCUGUGCCAGCAGCCGCGGUAAUACAGAGGGUGCAAGCGUUAAUCGGAAUUACUGGGCGUAAAGCGAGCGUAGGUGGCUUGAUAAGUCAGAUGUGAAAUCCCCGGGCUUAACCUGGGAACUGCAUCUGAAACUGUUAGGCUAGAGUAGGUGAGAGGGAAGUAGAAUUUCAGGUGUAGCGGUGAAAUGCGUAGAGAUCUGAAGGAAUACCGAUGGCGAAGGCAGCUUCCUGGCAUUCAUACU